This is a long non-coding RNA of Columba livia (rock pigeon), 3062 nucleotides long. RefSeq lists it as uncharacterized. The transcript has 7 exons. The record is from RefSeq and is a predicted model, not a curated record. NCBI's taxonomy places the organism in Eukaryota, Metazoa, Chordata, Aves, Columbiformes, Columbidae.
UGCACAUAGGGGUUCUUAUGACUUAUAGAAUGCUCUCAAAAGAAGUGCCAAAGGCUUUAACGACAUCCAAGGUACACAUUAUACUCUUAAUUGCUGUUCUGUGCUGCUGUGGACAGAUGCCUCUCUAUAGUUUCUGACAGAGGAAAAUUUAUCUUGGGAGGAGAUAGCCAGGUUAAACGCUUGGGUGUCCUUCCUUUGGUAGAAGUUCUGUCUCUUCCCUGAACAUACAUUCCUUAGAACAAAUAUAUUGUGUAUACUACUACAUUUUAAACAUUUAAAGAAUAAUUGUGACAGCUGACAAUGGAAAGAUCUGCUUUUGGUCUAGCAUCAAAAUUCAAAAUCAAAGCAAAACUUAAAGUAAUUCACAAGGUCAGUGCAAGAAUUGAUUUAUUGUUUGAAGAAUGCAUUGAAAUGUCUGAUUCUGUGCUAUUAGGAGGAUCAGGUCUCAUAACAGCUGUUUUAUUAGGUGGAUUUGUGUUCAAAUAUAAGACAUCUCAAGUGAAAUUUCAGGAUAUGUUAUUUAAGCGUGUGCUUAAAAUGAGUGUUUACCAAGUAGGCGUGCUUUUCUAAAUAACCUUGCAUGAUGUUUACUCCUUCAUUUUUCCUACAUUAAUUUUUAAUAUCUUCAUGCUUAUUUCCUGUUUUUAAGCUGAGACUCAGAUUUUUGGGCAGCUUCCUCACUGAUGGCUCAGGUUUGCAAGAAAAUGAAGGCUGCCACCUUCCUUUGCGCUGCUGUGAUUCAGAGACAUCCACCUGUAUGUGGAUCUGCCGAGUAACUGAUUUUCAGCCUUCUCCAAAAGAACAGUGAAGGAAACACGGAUGUAUUUCCAGUGAGAGAUAGCCUGGAGAAUGAAGACAUGGUUCGAAGCCCCACGGAAGUUAAAAUUUUAAAUUUCAAAUUAUGUUAUUUCAGCAAAAUCAAGAGGCUUGAAGGCAUAUGCCUGUUUGGAAUACACAAUAUGAACUGUGCAGAAGACAGUUGUUGGGAAAGGAACUAAUGGUUUAUCACCCUAGAGGAAGCUGUUGUUUCCAUCCUGGCACUUGCCUUCGAGAGGCCACAAGGAUAGAGCCUCUUUUCCACGGUGCAAUUGCCUGUCCCCUCUUCAGCACUGACCCGUCUUCCAGCUCUUCCUCAGCAGUCAGAGAACAGGCAUUCGCAUUCAGGUGCUGCUGUGCUGGAUCCUUCUAACUCGGGGCUGAAUGGUCCCUUAAAGAGCAUAUGGCCAUUAUUGGGAGCUGGGAAUUUCAUGAAGCCUACAUACUGCCUACAGCAAGUUCUCUCUUUAAAGAUGACUCUCUGUAGUCGGGUACUUUCCACACUGGCUGCUUCACAGGAUGAGACCGCAGGAAGAUGGGGGAUGUUAAUGUACGUGGGAUGGCCCAGCCCUGCCGACUGUUCUUUUUUGCCGUCUCUCUGGAUGUUUUCUAUCUGUAAUGCUUUCCUGAAAUCCUGUUAGAAAAAUACAUCUUGUCCAAUGGACCAAUGGCAGUCCCCUGAUUAUGGGGAAAUCUGGAAAGGUUUGUGAUUUAGAAGGAAGAAAUGACAUCGUUAAAACUGGAGUUGUAGUUACUGUUGUACAAGUGUUUUUUACAACUUUCAUAUAGCUGAUUUGCUUUUCAUUUGGUAUUCUAGUAGAUAGAUUAACAAAGAGCAUUUCAAUUUGUACUUAUGCUGUCACUGUUUUUCUUGCAACUUGUCUGAUACUGUUACUAUUCUGAUAUUUUAUUUUUUUAUACAUGAGAUCUGGUUUUCACUUCAGCUAGCCAUUAAGUCAUUGAUACGUCUAAAUGUGUACACAGUAUCUCGUGAGAAAGUAUCAAGUCAUUUUGUUACAUUUGGAAUUAAAAGGCCAUAAACAGGUAAUACUGUUGUAUACUCUAUUAGUAGGGUCAUUAAAUGUAUGUCUGCAAUGAGAAUAUUUUAGGCUGAAUAUUUUAGGCUUCUGAGCCACAUGCAUAAGAGAUUGUGGCUGUUGGCCUGUACUGAACCCUCUGGCAACUUUGUGCUUCCUUUUGUACAGAAGGCUCUGGGUAGGACAUGCUUUGUGUGUGUGGUUUCAACUGUCUUUCUGAAGGAGAGUGGGGAUUUUCAAUAGUGUUGCUGUGUAAGUAUCUCUUAAUUCCUUCCUAAUAAUUUCUGUGCCUGUUCAACAGGUCCAUUCAACUUGAAAGGAACAGCUGGUUUUUUUUUUGUUUGCCUCUCCCACAUCUAGUGGGUAGUCUUUUUCAUGGAGUGCAUAACAUUUGCAGUUGUUGGAUUUUCACUGUCUGUUGGAAUACAACUGGUUAAAAGGGUACCUUUUUCAUUAUGUAGUGUGUCAGUUUUGCUCUUUUUGAUUGCACAGGCUGAGAGUUGUGAAUCUGGAUAACAGAAUAUGCAGUAGACAGCUUUGAUUUUGAAAAUUGCUGUCAUGCUUCAUAUUUUGAUACCAUAUGAGUUUAUUUGCUGUGGUAUCUGGAUGCUUUAAGUCAUGUGGAGUGAUUUGAACAUCAGCAUGUAAAAGUUCCCUCAUAUUCUUUCCUGUAAUAAAAGGAAAAUUUCUAUUGAUCAUGCACACAAAAAAUUUCCUGGGAAUGUAUCUUAUUUUAAGUGGAUUUGCCUUGCGUUGUGUACCAUAUACUUUUGUGGGGCUAUUUUGUGGAAUAGUGUAUGUACUUCUGCAGGAAUUAGUAAGGUGCGUAUUGUAGAAGCAUAAGGUGUGACAGCCUUUUCUGAUGAACCUGGGCUAUAUAAAGUGCCCUUGUCUAAACUGGCAAUGGCAAACAUUAACACUAGACUUUCAGGCCUGAUACUUCGGAGUACUAAUUGUUACUCAGUGAAUGGCAAUGAAGGUUAAAUAAUGCAAGGUCACUGCUGUGUUCUUUCUGUUUUGGGAAAGCUGAUUUUAAAAGGUCAUUCUGUCCUGCCUUGUGCGACAGGAUGGAGGACUUACAUUUCGUAAUGAUUGUGGCACCUAACUCAGGCAGAAAUACCAGGAACUGAAAAUGUUUAAGUGUAACUUUGAACUCGCAUUCUGGUGAUGGGCUUAAACAAAUUAAAUUAAACAAAUACUAGUUGAAAA